Long non-coding RNA from Gasterosteus aculeatus aculeatus (three-spined stickleback), 4290 nucleotides. The record is from Ensembl. Lineage: Eukaryota; Metazoa; Chordata; Actinopteri; Perciformes; Gasterosteidae.
UAAAAUAUUCCUUCUCUUUAUUUUUUCAUUAGUUUCAGGUAUGGCACAAAAAAAAUGGGUGAUAAAUCCAAAGUAACACAGGAGAAAGAAGCCUGAUCGUAUAUAAAUAUAGAGCACAAAACAGAGAAGAGUGACAGGUCAUCAUUACAGGGUGUCGGCACACAACAAGAUAAAUAACAUCACUUAAAAGCGGCGACCUCAGCGACCUCGAUGUUGCGCCAUCAAAUCAAAUGAUUCCCAGGGGUCUUUUAAAAUGUGAGGGUCGGGGGGGGGGGGGGGUCGGGGGAGGUUUGGCUAUUUUGCUUCAUUUUGCUCACCACCGAGCGACGGAAAUCCACGUUCGACCGUUUCUUUCCAUUUCGUAGGAACACUUUUCUGAAUCCGCCCGAUGACCCCGUCUUCUCUGCGGGUGCCAACCCACAAAGUUCUGGGCGCCCAUUGGCUUUGCCGGAUCGAUAACCGGGGGGGGGGGGGGGUGGGUGUACUGAUAAUCGGGGCCAUCGCUUACGAAUACAUCGCACUGGUGGGACUGAACGGGUUAUUCAGGGUGCUGAAACAGCGCAUUGAAUGGCACGAUGUGACAAAGCCCUUCUCAGGUUGAACAGAAAAUGAGAACAUUUCCACUGGAUAAGAAAUGUUGGGACUGUUCCUUUCAGAGACCCUUGAAGCUCUAGGUAUCAAUCAUUUAUAUUCAUGGUGAGAAUAAAACAUUACCAGGUGAUUAUACAGCUGGUAGAAAGUAAAAUGAGAAAAUUGAAGCUGAAUAAAAAAAGAAAAGAAAAACACCUUUGAGGAAACUACAGCAGCAUAACAGAAAUGAUUUAGAGCACAACUUUUUUAGUUUAUACUACUACAAAGUAUGCGUGUUCUGGGAAUUAAGGCAAUACUUUGUUUUGAAUUACAUUUCCUCGCAUGGAGGUUUAAUCUAAUUCACCACAGAAACAGAUUCAAGCGUCACAGUGGCUCCUUUUCAACGGUGUUAGUGUAAAUACUGGGUACAUUCAUCCGCAACUGCAACAACAUAUACAUAUAUUUCCCCCUUUUGAAUGAAACCGCAUUGAUUUAAGUCUUUGUUUCCUUCCCAGUUCAAGUCCACGUGAACCUCGCUAAUGUUACACAAAGUCAAACGUGCCAUAUUCUCCAGACGGAAGGUGGACUCGCUUCAUUCCCCUCCUGGUUAAAGCCCGUUGCCAAUAACAACCGAGUCUCCUUUCCCUUUUUCAACUACGUAAUGCAACUGAAGCAAACACCUCAUGUACAACGGGAUAAUUUGUCGAAACGUUGGUAUCUCAGCUGCACUUGUGUUGACUGAAUUUUGUGGUGAAUUUUCACGUUCUUCUCCAUCAAGGUUUUAGGCCUUUAUACCAAACAGUCAUCCAGUUACACGUGAUGGAAAAGGCAGCGGCGUAAAGGACUGCCCUCUUAACAAGGACACAAAGCGUACAACUCGUAUAGUACAACUCGUAUAGUACAACUCGUAUAGUCAGCCACAACAGAUAUACAGCACACGCUGGAGGUUCGGCUGGUGGGAAACAAAAGUGGUGCAGCCCUAUUUGCGAAGGCAGUAUUCAUUACUCGACGCCCACACGGUAUAUUAAGUAGAGACCUUUAAAUGUGAUAUUAUCAUAAAAGCAUUUGGAGUCACUCACCGCUGCAGAACUCAUCGCUGCGCGAUAAAAACGACACAACAGGCCUCCACGAAACGCUCGGCGGAACCUCGGGUCCUUCGCCAUACAGCCAGUAACACAACGCUGUUCACGUAUUCACAUUCUGUUAAUCCCCUCCGAUCGUACUUUGCAGCUCAGGGGACUUUAAUAAGAGCGGCAUCUCACCCAAAGGCCAGAAAGAUGACACGAGCUGCAGAAGAGAAACACAAGCAAACGGUGGUUCUUUUGGAGGUCCAGUUUUCUGGCAAAAUCUAACGAGUCUUCGUUCACACAGAUGGAAGUUUAGUUGAUGAAAGUACCCAGAAUUUAAUAAUACACACCACAAAAGCAGGAUUUUUUCUUUCGAUUCAGGUUGUGUUUUGAAAAGGUUCAUCCGUAUAAACCCCCACUACCGCGAAAAACAGUUGAAGAAGAAGGAAGAAGUUUUGGAUAAGUUUCUCGAUAGUCUUUCCCACGUGUUCCCAUUCUUUGUGUUAAGUUGAGCUACUUCACGGGACUUUGACCCCGGCUAGUCACGGGGAAACUGUUCCCCCAAGAGGGAGACGGCCACCAGGUCUUCGUUGGGAGGCUGUUUGGGGCGCGGGGGGGGGGGUAAAAGGAACAGCUGCCAACAUCUCUAAAGGAACUCGUAUCCAUACUUAGCAACAGCGACGACUGCUAACGGCACUUUGGCACUUUUCAUUACUUGCUAUUUCACAGGAGGAAAUAGCAAAUAGCUAAUGGAUUUAAUAUCUGAGCUGGUAUUUUUUUUUGGUGGGGGGGUUGGGGGGGGAUGUGUCAAAGUCACACAAAUCUCUUGUUCUUGAUGUGUCCAAAACAACCUAUGAAAGUCUGGAAGUUCUCAUCAUCAAAAGCACACGAAAGCAUGUUUUAGUAAAAGAUUACAUCUAGUUAGACUGUUAGAAAAUACCCCCCCCCCCUCCAGAACUCCAUUUACAUUCAUUAUGAUCUGGGCCUCAUGGGAAGAAAUAAAAUAACAUGAAUAAAAGCAGGAAACAGCUGUGAUAGUGUCUCUGUACUGAUGUCAUAAGGAUGCCCUGACAUGCCCGUCGUUCUGCUCGGUUCUUCUUUACAUGCGUCGGUUCUCUGUUGCACACGGACGUGACCCCCCCCCCCCCAGACCAGGCUACAUAUGCUGAGCUACCACAACACCAGGAGGAAGCUGAACCCGGGCCACCUGGUUUCAUGAUACGUUUGAAUAUAAAUGAUGCGUUUACUUGGUUUGGGUCACGCAUGUGCAAAGAAAUAUAAAAUGCGUUUUACAUGUCGAGACCUUGAACUGUAUGUUGUGCUUCCUGUACUCCAACAUAAAACAUUUAUCAUAAACCUUUGAAUAGAGCUUCUUUAACAUUUACAAGUUAUACAAUUCCCAAAUUGGUUUUGCUUCUUAUGCUUCCAUCAGCUUUGAUACGUAAGCGAUGCAAAGGGAGACAACAAGAAGAGAAAAGGAAGUAAAGUCAUCUUCAACGGAAAAAAUAAGAAACAAGACACAAGUCCUCAAAACAUUUGUCAUAACCAACAAUGGACGGAAUUUUUCAUUUUCUUAUUUUCUCUUUUUUACAAUACAUUUUUUAAAAACCCCGCUGGUUAAGGUUAUGGUCUCAGGUAGAUCUUCCACAGUCAAUCUUCACAGUUUGUGUAAAAGCAGAGAAACAUUCCCGCUAGAGUAAUAAAAUAUCAUGACUACUAUUAUGGUCAUUAUUAUCUUUUAUUCUCAUAUUGUUCCAUAUAAAUGGUGGAGGACAGGGGCGAUGCACAUCGCCCUAAUGAAGAGCCUGCAGUCCCAAAGUUCCUGCUCUCCUCCCUGUACAACGCCAUGUUUUAUUCAGCAGUUGUUCUUUUGUUUAAAAAAUGCUCGCCCGCGGGGCAGAGGAGAAUUAUGGGAACGGAGCGGAGCGGAGUAUUCAUUCAAUCAAGCGUCUGCAUCCUGCUGCACGAGCUCCUCGUUCUGCACAAAAAAAAAAAAAAAAAAAAAAGAUAAAAGAAAAAGAUCCACAGCCUCGCUGUCGCCAAAUUGUCCCCAAACCCGAUCUGCCAGCGCGGCCCGGUCAGCUGCCCUCACGCCGACCACAGGCCAAGGCUUCACACACACACACACACACACACACAGGCGACCGUCCAAUCAGGAGUUAAAUCUGGGUGGAGCACAAAGCCCCCCCACCCCCCCACCUACGCGCUCCAUCUGCACGCACAUGCCCUCCCCUCAGCACUCGUGGGGCGAAAUGAACAUGUAGAAAAUAGCCCAUCGGAGGAAACGUGAGCGGAGACGUGUUGUCGAUGUUGAGUAACACCCGGGCUCCCCGCGCGGUUUGUACUCGGAAGGCACUUUGUUUCAUGGCAGAAAGUAAAGUGGCUUCUGUUCCACCGGCGGACCGCCGACUGAAUACUCGAGUCCGGCCCCACUAAUCGGACCCUCCUCCUCCUCCUCCUCCUCCUCUUCCUCCCCCAUCCCUCCUCCCUGCUCUCCUCCUCCUCCCCUCUGGCCUCCGGUCCGGCUGACUUGCACCUCUGCUGAUUCCUCCUGCAUUGGUCGCCGUGCCGCCCUUCCGUCGGUUGGCCACUUGGACUCAGUGAGCACAGUGUUAAUAGAUACGUAGGCCGCAACAGCGCCUUGGAGUGGGGG